GAACACAUCUGCUGUCAUCCACUUUGCUUUUCCCCCCUGAUAAAAAUCCAUUUAGAAGCAGCCAUCAGAAAAUCAUGGGGGAAGGGAUGGCAAGAAGGAGAUGAUCCAACCUAAAAGCUACAAAGCCAACCAUGGCACUUUUGCUGGUUCUUGAAAUGCCUCUUGAGUCCUGCACCCCGCUGUCCACCAAAUAUAAUCUAUGUUAUUUACAGCAUGUACUUGGUACAGAUUACAGUCACUCAGAUGAAGGGGGAGAAAAAAGGGAACUAGAAGUAAUAAUAAAAUGGAAAAAAAAAAAAAAAAGGCAGGAAAUCAAUUGAAGGCCAGCAUGGUGUGCUGCACAAAGAUUCAAAUAAGGAACUUGCAGUGCAACAUGUUUGUGCACACAUGCAUAGAAAAUCAUAUUUUGCUUUUGAUCAAUUGCACAGAGCAAAAAUACGGGUUAUGCAGAAGAGCAGCACAAAAUAAACCUGCUAUGGAAAUGUAACUCAAUCAUGACCUCUGAUUGCCAGCUUCUCCCAUGUGCAGCAUCGCUGACUCAGAGGCAGGAAGUGCUAUUCUAGCUACCUGUUCCUACUCACUCUGUAUUUACAGACCUCAAGUAAAAUCACAACCUGCUCCGCACCCACUUCACCCCACCCUCAUAGCCAAAGCCAGCUACAGAUUGGCACGGAGUUGAACUUGUUGUCACGCUCCCUCCUCAUGGUUUACAUUUGCUCCGAGAUGUUCUGGGUAUUUCCUAUCUCAGUUUCUGCUUUCCACUGUGGGUUGCCUCCCCAUGGAACAAGUUAUUAUUACUCCAGUCUCUACCAACAACGCAAACAAAGCAGGUACAAGCUGACGCAACUCUGGAAAGUGCUGUACCAAACACUGAUGCAACCCCCCGGAGAGAUGCGAUUACUCCCCCGGAGUGCGUGGGAUGAGGAUGCCCUGCUUGCUCUCAUCUUGACUCCUGCUUUCGCCUUUGCCUGCCAGCACAAAACCUGGCACAGCUCUGUAACUCACGCCUUCCAGUCUGCGGCUUGGAAGAGCUCUGGUUGUGCCCCGUCACCAAAUGUUCCCAGCAUCAGGGUUGUUUUGCCUCUCACCCAUCAAUCAAAGUAAAGCAAUAAAACCUUCACCCUUGUAGCA
This 1131-nucleotide long non-coding RNA is filed under the name Parus major (Great Tit). Its description in RNAcentral is "lncRNA (ENSPMJG00000018212.1)". The record is from RNAcentral. Lineage: Eukaryota; Metazoa; Chordata; Aves; Passeriformes; Paridae.